Molecule: ribosomal RNA, 483 nt
Filed under: uncultured bacterium
Lineage: Bacteria
Description: partial 16S ribosomal RNA
Rfam family: Bacterial small subunit ribosomal RNA
Source: RNAcentral
UUGAACGCUGGCGGCAGGCCUAACACAUGCAAGUCGAGCGGAUGAAGGGAGCUUGCUCCUGGAUUCAGCGGCGGACGGGUGAGUAAUGCCUAGGAAUCUGCCUGGUAGUGGGGGAUAACGUCCGGAAACGGGCGCUAAUACCGCAUACGUCCUGAGGGAGAAAGUGGGGGAUCUUCGGACCUCACGCUAUCAGAUGAGCCUAGGUCGGAUUAGCUAGUUGGUGGGGUAAAGGCCUACCAAGGCGACGAUCCGUAACUGGUCUGAGAGGAUGAUUAGUCACACUGGAACUGAGACACGGUCCAGACUCCUACGGGAGGCAGCAGUGGGGAAUAUUGGACAAUGGGCGAAAGCCUGAUCCAGCCAUGCCGCGUGUGUGAAGAAGGUCUUCGGAUUGUAAAGCACUUUAAGUUGGGAGGAAGGGCAGUAAGUUAAUACCUUGCUGUUUUGACGUUACCAACAGAAUAAGCACCGGCUAACUUCGUG